Molecule: ribosomal RNA, 253 nt
Filed under: uncultured bacterium
Lineage: Bacteria
Description: partial 16S ribosomal RNA
Rfam family: Bacterial small subunit ribosomal RNA
Source: RNAcentral
UACGUAGUGUGCGAGCGUUAAUCGGAAUUACUGGGCGUAAAGCGUGCGCAGGCGGUUCGUUAAGUCAGAUGUGAAAGCCCCGGGCUCAACCUGGGAACUGCAUUUGAAACUGGCGGGCUUGAGUGUGGCAGAGGGGGGUGGAAUUCCGCGUGUAGCAGUGAAAUGCGUAGAGAUGCGGAGGAACACCGAUGGCGAAGGCAGCCCCCUGGGCCAACACUGACGCUCAGGCACGAAAGCGUGGGGAGCAAACAGG